UUACGGCCAUAUCAUGUUGAAACACCGGUUCCCGAACAAUCAGCAAAGUUAAGCAACGUCGAGCCUGGUUAGUACCUAGAUGAGUGACCGCUUGGGAAUAGCAGGUGCUGUAA
This is a non-coding RNA of Acanthosepion pharaonis, 113 nucleotides long. The record is from the annotation of a GenBank genome assembly. NCBI's taxonomy places the organism in Eukaryota, Metazoa, Mollusca, Cephalopoda, Sepiida, Sepiidae.